CACCACAACAGGUGGAGCCUGCGGUUUAAUCGGACUCAACGCCGGGAAAGGCUCACCGGAUAAGACAGCGGAAUGAUAGCCGGGCUGAAGACUCUGCUUGACUAGCUGAGAGGAGGUGCAUGGCCGUCGUCAGUUCGUACUGUGAAGCAUCCUGUUAAGUCAGGCAACGAGCGAGACCCACGCCAACAGUUGCCAGCAUGUCCUCCGGGAUGGUGGGGACACUGUUGGGACCGCCUCUGCUAAAGAGGAGGAAGGAAUGGGCAACGGUAGGUCAGCAUGCCCCGAAUUAUCCGGGCUACACGCGGGCUACAAUGGUCAGGACAAUGGGCAUCAACACCGAAGGUGAAGGCAAUCUCUUAAACCUGUCCUUAGUUCGGAUUGUGGGCUGCAACUCGCCCACAUGAAGCUGGAAUCUGUAGUAAUCGUGUCUCAAAAUGGCACGGUGAAUAUGUCCCUGCUCCUU
RNAcentral lists this ribosomal RNA (463 nucleotides) under uncultured Methanolinea sp. Its description in RNAcentral is "bacterial SSU rRNA". It matches the Rfam family "Archaeal small subunit ribosomal RNA", at positions 877 to 1338 of the family's 1478-position model. The record is from RNAcentral. Lineage: Archaea; Methanobacteriati; Methanobacteriota; Methanomicrobia; Methanomicrobiales; Methanoregulaceae.